RNAcentral lists this transfer RNA (87 nucleotides) under Geobacter sp. AOG2. RNAcentral's name for it is "tRNA-Leu". It matches the Rfam family "tRNA". From Rfam's summary of the family: Transfer RNA (tRNA) molecules are approximately 80 nucleotides in length. Their secondary structure includes four short double-helical elements and three loops (D, anti-codon, and T loops). Further hydrogen bonds mediate the characteristic L-shaped molecular structure. tRNAs have two regions of fundamental functional importance: the anti-codon, which is responsible for specific mRNA codon recognition, and the 3' end, to which the tRNAs corresponding amino acid is attached (by aminoacyl-tRNA synthetases). tRNAs cope with the degeneracy of the genetic code in two manners: having more than one tRNA (with a specific anti-codon) for a particular amino acid; and 'wobble' base-pairing, i.e. permitting non-standard base-pairing at the 3rd anti-codon position. RNAcentral also lists the same sequence under 4 other names. Lineage: Bacteria; Pseudomonadati; Thermodesulfobacteriota; Desulfuromonadia; Geobacterales; Geobacteraceae. The record is from RNAcentral.
GCCGAAGUGGCGGAAUUGGUAGACGCGCCAGAUUCAGGUUCUGGUUCUCGCAAGGGAGUGCUGGUUCGAUUCCAGUCUUCGGCACCA